Molecule: small RNA, 748 nt
Filed under: Histoplasma capsulatum
Lineage: Eukaryota; Fungi; Ascomycota; Eurotiomycetes; Onygenales; Ajellomycetaceae
Also listed under: 1 other name
Description: hypothetical RNA
Source: RNAcentral
ACAUCAAUUAUCUGCCGCCAGUUCAGAUCUACUGUGCAGGAAAACACAGCGGAAAUACAGUGAAUGGCUCCAAGAGUGUCACGAAAAUAUUGACCGACUGUAAUUCUUAUGAGGAAUGAGGCUAAUGUUUUACGUAGAUCGAUCUGACUUGACUCAGAGCUGCUCGUAAACUGGCAACUUCGGUGUUGAACAAUAACAAAUGGAGAGUCAUUCCUCCUCUUCUCUUUUGGCCAUAUCAAAGAAUCGAAACGAACAAUACCGACUCUCCUGGUAACUUUGUUCCCGUUGAUGCCUCUCUGAAGCGGGAGUAAGGCGGGGAAGCAAAAUAAUUCUUCCAGUGUCUGUGAAGGAAAGAAAGAACUGAUUCUCUCUUCAACGCUGCCUUGCCAACCUGCUUGCCGCCAUUUGUGCGAUAUCGCUGGGCUAGUAAUAGUGUGAUUGAGAAAAUGGGAACACCCAGCCAACUGCAUGUCGAGAGCAAGAAUUACGCCUUAUAUGCACAGCGCUUCUUAGCGUUGAAAUUCUGUCUAGGGCACAAGGCUCAGUCGAUAUGGAUUUCGAACGGCUGGACAUAUAUCAGAUAAUUUUUACCUUUGAUAAAUUCAAUGCACAAUCAUAGCUCAGUCCUGUGUAAAAAAUUCGUGCAUAGAAUACGAGUCUUAUCUGCUCGAUACAACGUGGGAAUAUUGAAUGUACCAGCAGAUAAUCGUGAAACAUACCCGCUCAAGACUGGUGUAAAACGUAGAGG